Molecule: non-coding RNA, 46 nt
Filed under: Schistosoma mansoni
Lineage: Eukaryota; Metazoa; Platyhelminthes; Trematoda; Strigeidida; Schistosomatidae
Source: RNAcentral
GCACUGAUGAAGAGUCCCACAAUAGGACGAAACGGUCGUUCAGUGC